This 477-nucleotide ribosomal RNA is filed under the name Nocardia thailandica. Its description in RNAcentral is "bacterial SSU rRNA". It matches the Rfam family "Bacterial small subunit ribosomal RNA", at positions 102 to 593 of the family's 1533-position model. The record is from RNAcentral. Lineage: Bacteria; Bacillati; Actinomycetota; Actinomycetes; Mycobacteriales; Nocardiaceae.
ACGGGUGAGUAACACGUGGGUGAUCUGCCUCGUACUUCGGGAUAAGCCUGGGAAACUGGGUCUAAUACCGGAUAUGACCUUGGACUGCAUGGUCUUUGGUGGAAAGAUUUAUCGGUACGAGAUGGGCCCGCGGCCUAUCAGCUUGUUGGUGGGGUAACGGCCUACCAAGGCGACGACGGGUAGCCGGCCUGAGAGGGCGACCGGCCACACUGGGACUGAGACACGGCCCAGACUCCUACGGGAGGCAGCAGUGGGGAAUAUUGCACAAUGGGCGAAAGCCUGAUGCAGCGACGCCGCGUGAGGGAUGACGGCCUUCGGGUUGUAAACCUCUUUCGACAGGGACGAAGCGCAAGUGACGGUACCUGUAGAAGAAGCACCGGCCAACUACGUGCCAGCAGCCGCGGUAAUACGUAGGGUGCGAGCGUUGUCCGGAAUUACUGGGCGUAAAGAGCUUGUAGGCGGUUCGUCGCGUCGUUC